RNAcentral lists this ribosomal RNA (38 nucleotides) under Aspergillus flavus. Its description in RNAcentral is "partial 28S ribosomal RNA". Lineage: Eukaryota; Fungi; Ascomycota; Eurotiomycetes; Eurotiales; Aspergillaceae. The record is from RNAcentral.
CUCGGAUCAGGUAGGGAUACCCGCUGAACUUAAGCAUA